GACCUGAUAGCACAACUGAUUAGUGCGUCUGCUCAGAAUCUUCAAUUGUCCACGAAGGUUAAGUAGAAGACCUCCGUUCGACUCGGGGUCAGGUCA
Molecule: non-coding RNA, 96 nt
Organism: Mycena metata
Lineage: Eukaryota; Fungi; Basidiomycota; Agaricomycetes; Agaricales; Mycenaceae
Source: the annotation of a GenBank genome assembly